GAAGGCAGAAAUCGUCCUCUUCGGUUCUUUUCUUUUCCUUUUAUUUUUCUAUUUUCAAUUCAGUCAAUGAGUGGCUGAUUUUCUUAAUUCUAGUUGAGAAUUGGUUGAAACUAAGGUUGUUUAAUGGGUUGUGAGAUUUGGACAUAAAUUAUUGUCUUUGGUUUUGUUCAAUAUUUAUGCAAUUGAUGCUUUAAUUAUAUGAUUACUUUGUUGUUCUGAUCAAAUUGACCACUUGAUUUUAAUUGCAAAGUUAAUUGAUUGUUAGUUGGGAUUAUUUUUAGUCCGUAAUUGCUGAAAAUAUUCUGACCUUAGAACACUUGGUGUGAAAACCAAGGAAUUGCAUGAUCUAGCGUUAUCUCCAUACGUUUGGGUAGCUAGGAUUGAAUCUCUCUAUUUCUUUAUGCAAUUGACAAUUGUUUUGAUGCCUAUGGCCCAAGAACGUUCCUUGGCAAUUUGUUAAUUAGUAAUUGAUUAGAGGACGUUCCCUAAUUAAUUUAAUCAUAAGGAGAGACAUGGUGGUGAGAAGCGUCUUCCACCCCCAUAACUAAUCUAUUGAACCAAUCAAGAUAAUCUAAGUUUCAAUGAUCAAUCCAAACAACCAAAGUGGAUCCAUAUCUUCAACUAGACUUUUCUCAUAUUGAUUUCCUCUUUUAUUUUAAUUAUUUGCUUUCUAUUAUUAUUCUCAUUAUUAGUUACUACAAUCAAUCUCAAACCCCCUCCAUUUUACUUUUACUGCAAUUUAUUUUUGCUUUCAAUUUAUCUCGUUUGAUCCCACUUUCAGUUUUUUUUAUCUCAUUUUUAGUUUAUUUUCUUG
Molecule: long non-coding RNA, 814 nt
Filed under: Manihot esculenta (cassava)
Lineage: Eukaryota; Viridiplantae; Streptophyta; Magnoliopsida; Malpighiales; Euphorbiaceae
Description: long non-coding RNA (MESC_LNC013017)
Source: RNAcentral